CGGGUGAGUAACGCGUGAGUAACCUGCCUUACACAAGGGGAUAGCCUUUGGAAACGAAGAAUAAUACCCUAUAAAACCAUAAAAGCACAUGCUAGAAUGGUCAAAGUGACAGCGGUGUAAGAUGGACUUGCGUCUGAUUAGCUAGUUGGUGAGAUAAAAGCUCACCAAGGCAACGAUCAGUAGCCGGCUUGAGAGAGUGUACGGCCACAUUGGGACUGAGACACGGCCCAG
RNAcentral lists this ribosomal RNA (231 nucleotides) under uncultured Eubacteriales bacterium. RNAcentral describes it as "uncultured Clostridiales bacterium partial 16S ribosomal RNA". It matches the Rfam family "Bacterial small subunit ribosomal RNA", at positions 103 to 334 of the family's 1533-position model. The record is from RNAcentral. Lineage: Bacteria; Bacillati; Bacillota; Clostridia; Eubacteriales.